UACGUAGGGUGCGAGCGUUGUCCGGAAUUACUGGGCGUAAAGAGCUCGUAGGUGGUUUGUCGCGUUGUUCGUGAAAACUCACAGCUUAACUGUGGGCGUGCGGGCGAUACGGGCAGACUGGAGUACUGCAGGGGAGACUGGAAUUCCUGGUGUAGCGGUGGAAUGCGCAGAUAUCAGGAGGAACACCGGUGGCGAAGGCGGGUCUCUGGGCAGUAACUGACGCUGAGGAGCGAAAGCGUGGGGAGCGAACAGGAUUAGAAACCCUCGUAGUCC
Molecule: ribosomal RNA, 273 nt
Filed under: uncultured bacterium
Lineage: Bacteria
Description: partial 16S ribosomal RNA
Rfam family: Bacterial small subunit ribosomal RNA
Source: RNAcentral